GCUUGUCUCAAAGAUUAAGCCAUGCAUGUCUAAGUAUAACUCUUUUACUUUGAAAACUGCGAACGGCUCAUUAUAUCAGUUAUAGUUUCUUUGAUAGUCCCUUACUACUUGGAUACCCGUAGUAAUUCUAGAGCUAAUACAUGCUGGUUAGCCUGACUUUUAGGAAGGGCUGUAUUUAUUAGAUAACAAACCAAUAUUCCUCGUGUCUAUUGUGAUGACUCAUAAUAACUGAUCGAAUCGCAUGGGCCUUGCCCGCGAUACAUCAUUCAAGUUUCUGCCCCAUCAGCUUUCGAUGGUAGUGUAUUGGACUACCAUGGCUUUAACGGGUAACGGAGGAUUAGGGUUCGAUUCCGGAGAGGGAGCCUGAGAAACGGCUACCACAUCUAAGGAAGGCAGCAGG
Molecule: ribosomal RNA, 400 nt
Filed under: uncultured Hypotrichia
Lineage: Eukaryota; Ciliophora; Spirotrichea
Description: partial small subunit ribosomal RNA
Rfam family: Eukaryotic small subunit ribosomal RNA
Source: RNAcentral